GAACCAGUUGAGGAUUAUGGCAGUGCGAUUUGUGCUAGUGUUAGGCACAGACAUGUCCAUUGCAGCCCUAGGCUUAUGACUCCAAUGGGCUGCAGCAAACUAUACGCGGAUGUGGUGCUUUUGGGUGUUUAGGUACAGUUAGCGCGAAGCAUGCCAUUCAACACCCGGAUCAGGCUGUAGCAAUUGAUUUGUUCAAACAGGAGAUUGUAUAUUGCAUUCUUUACAAGUGUUUAUAGUUUUUAUAAGCACUAUAAAGUUAUAUAUAAUAUUAACUAGUGGGUUAACAAAAAACUAGCCAUAAAUAAGUUAUUAUAAAUUCUAGGACUUUUUAUAAUUUUAGGUCUUAAAAAAAAGCCCUGGAACCCGACCCGACCCUCUAAUUUUGGUUUGCUUAUUGCUCUCAUGGCAUAUGUUGUUUGGCAUAUGUUGUUUGGCAUAUGAACUUUAGAUUUCCAUUUGGCAUAUAUAUAAUUUUAGUAUUGUGUA
This is a long non-coding RNA of Lycium ferocissimum, 486 nucleotides long. RefSeq lists it as uncharacterized. The transcript is spliced from 2 exons. The record is from RefSeq and is a predicted model, not a curated record. NCBI's taxonomy places the organism in Eukaryota, Viridiplantae, Streptophyta, Magnoliopsida, Solanales, Solanaceae.